Molecule: long non-coding RNA, 1126 nt
Filed under: Mytilus galloprovincialis (Mediterranean mussel)
Lineage: Eukaryota; Metazoa; Mollusca; Bivalvia; Mytilida; Mytilidae
Source: RNAcentral
GUUACAAUUCAUUUUUGAAAUGAAGUUGAUUAAGGAAUAACGCGAGAUCGCAGUUAGCCAAUCAGAAUAACGUAUCAUAAUGGAACAUACAUCUAAUGUAAUUAUUGAUAAAUAUACAAAAAAGAUUUAUAUGUAUACUUAAAUUACAAAUCGAAAUAACUGUUUACUUUUUUAAGAGAUGGUUCUUAUUUGAUUAAUGUUUUUCAUUUACAUUCUUUCCCCAUACUUUGCAAUAUAAAGUUCAUCCUAGAUUUACAUAAUUUAUUUGAAAUCCUUAAUUUAAAAUAUUAAAAUCAAUUGAGCUGACAAAUGAGGAACCUAUCUUUGAUUUCAUUAAUUUGCCGUAAAAUGAUCUGGUUUUGUUUAAGGAAUUGCCUUUUAGACAAAAAACUUAAAUAUGAAAACUUAAUGAAAAAUGUCCAUGCUCUGUCUAUUUCACUCUUUGAUCCUUAUCAUUUUUGGUGCCCAUAACCAAAGCAUAGACACUGCCAUAGCUUUAUUUCGAGAUAACCAUCAUCAUCCACCACUUUUCCUUAUACUUGUGUUAUAACUUAAAACCUUCUUAAUAUCUUGUCUAUAUAAUAAUAUUGUGCACCUCCUUAUUUCUAGAUUUGAACCGAAGCAGUAUUGGGGAUUCACUUAUCAAGGCCUGGGGUUUGAAUCAUUUUGUAAGCUUUGCCUGCAGUACCUCUAGUUUAAGUUUUGCUGCAUUGUGAAAAUUUCAUAUCAUUAACAUAAUAAGUAAGUUCUUUCAAUGAAAGCGUUAUUUUUGUUUUGUUGAUGUCUUGAAACUACAAUUGUAUAGUUGUAGAAUUAUGAAAAUCUGAUGGUUAUUCAGGAUCUUUUUAAAUGCACACUGAAACAUCAUUCCACGUACGUAUUAUUGUGUUUUUAUGUAUUACAUUAAUAAACUUACUGCAUACAUCUAUGUAUUGUCUUAUCUUUAUGCGGACAUUAUACGAAAAUUCAAGUUGAGUUAGAUAAUAUCAAGGACAAGGGAUAGGCAUAGACAUAUUUACUAAAUAUACCAGAGUGACAUUCAAACUCAUAAAUUGAAAGCAAAAUGACCACCGAACUCCGAGGUUAAUUCGGAAAGUUUUUUAGCAAAUAAAAAACAAAAACACAG